UUUUGGACAAUGGGCGCAAGCCUGAUCCAGCCAUUCCGCGUGAGUGAAGAAGGCCUUCGGGUUGUAAAGCUCUUUCGCAAGGGAAGAAAACUUAUCCUCUAACAUAGGAUGAGGUUGACGGUACCUUGAUAAGAAGCACCGGCUAACUACGUGCCAGCAGCCGCGGUAAUACGUAGGGCGCGAGCGUUAAUCGGAAUUACUGGGCGUAAAGCGUGCGCAGGCGGUUAUAUAAGACAGUUGUGAAAUCCCCGGGCUCAACCUGGGAAUUGCAUCUGUGACUGUAUAGCUAGAGUACGGUAGAGGGGGAUGGAAUUCCGCGUGUAGCAGUGAAAUGCGUAGAUAUGCGGAGGAACACCGAUGGCGAAGGCAAUCCCCUGGACCUGUACUGACGCUCAUGCACGAAA
Molecule: ribosomal RNA, 404 nt
Filed under: uncultured bacterium
Lineage: Bacteria
Description: bacterial SSU rRNA
Rfam family: Bacterial small subunit ribosomal RNA
Source: RNAcentral